UGCAAAUACACUCUCUUGUCUACUUUAAAC
Molecule: non-coding RNA, 30 nt
Filed under: Rattus norvegicus (Norway rat)
Lineage: Eukaryota; Metazoa; Chordata; Mammalia; Rodentia; Muridae
Source: RNAcentral